AGUUCCGACCCUCCGAGUAAAGCAUAUUUUGAAAACGUGCCUUUCCAAACGGGCCGUUUUCUAGGCGCACAAGCAUUGAUCCCAAGCGGAUUGUAUUUAUCAAUUGCUUUGACACACGCUCUCCCUGCCAUAUCCAGUGAUGGCAUGCGGAUCUGAUGAUUUGAGCACAGUUUCAGCUCAAAAGGCAGUACCCUUUGCCAGAGCCACCAUCCCACGAGCAACAGUUAUUUCUAUUACACCCGAUACAUGGGGAAAAGAAAUCUAACACCAAUGAACUUGCGAUAUUUCUAUUUCGCUUACAAAAGAGAGAAUUAUUGACAUCAAGCAUGUAACAUCGCAUCGAUUCCGUUUUCCUUUCUCCUGCUCUUCCCCUCCCUAUAACUCAGCCUCUUGGCUAAUACAUGGAAAUCGUUCUCUAACAACUUCGGUUUUAUAUUCAGUCCAUUCGAUUGGGAAGAGAGCUUAUAACACAAAACACAAAAAUAUGAUUAAUAUUGUCUCAGGCAAAUCUGAAACGAUAAAUGAAUACAAGAACAAUGGUACCAUGGCCAUGAAAGGUUAAAUAGUACAAUUUCGUAUUUCAUCGGACAUAUAAAUUGUACAGACCCCUACAACAAGAAAAAUUAUACCCAGUGAUGGUAUAAAAUAUUC
Molecule: long non-coding RNA, 651 nt
Filed under: Elaeis guineensis (African oil palm)
Lineage: Eukaryota; Viridiplantae; Streptophyta; Magnoliopsida; Arecales; Arecaceae
Description: long non-coding RNA (EGUI_LNC025411)
Source: RNAcentral